Gallus gallus (chicken) is the source of this 1421-nucleotide long non-coding RNA. NCBI's taxonomy places the organism in Eukaryota, Metazoa, Chordata, Aves, Galliformes, Phasianidae. The record is from Ensembl.
CUUGCUUGUAGGAUUGCUAUAUCAAUUCUCCAACCUGAGACUGUGAGGUCUCCUCAGUAAUGCAAGUUCUUGGCAUGCAGCACUGGAGUGUGUGAAACUGCUUUUCUGGAUGGGAAGAUGUAUCCUGGGACUCAUCCAGAUAGCUCUAGCAUACGGGAUGACAUUUCCCAACAUGAUGAGAUGAGAGAGGCUUGUUGGGAUCCUUGAUAGGAGCAGAUGCUUUGUAAGCUCCCAUAGCCAACGGAAAGCAGCUUCAGGUGGUACCUGUGUGCAGGCUGAGGUGUUAGAGCUGACCGUCCCUGGAGAGUAAGCUGUGACCAGGCAUGGAGCAGCUCUUCAGAACUGUCCUAGGGCUCUGCACCCUCCCCGGGCACCCAGCUCUCAGCUGGGAUGGUCUGGGUCAUAUUGCUGGGGCAAUUGAGCUUGAAAAUCAAACGUUUCUGCUCCAGCUCUUCCCUGCUCCUCACCCAGCCCACUCCAGCAAGGCACUCAGGGCAGUGAGCCAAGGCCUUCUUUUCAAUCACGCCGUUACCAAGAAGGACGUGAAGCCUUCCAAGCUCAGGCUGAUUGCAUGUUUGUGCUGAACAGUUGCCACUGUUUACAGAUAAACAGAGCACGGUUCCAUCCGUGUGCUGUGUGCAGAGCGGCAUGGGUUGGGCUGACCUCCUGCUGUACCUCCCAGGCCUUCCGCUCGCCCUGCUUUCCACCACUGGAGGUAUCGCUGUGGCUGUUUUCCCUUCUGAGCCUCUCUGCGAAGGUGAACUUCAGGACCUGCCUAAACCUUGCAGGACUUGCUGGCAGAGUUGCAGCUGUCCCUGAGGUGACUGCUAUUUGUCUAGAUGCCCUCAAGGCAGCACAAUGAAGAAAACUUGUGUGGCAGAGGAAGAGCAUAUUCCCAGCUGAAAGCUUCAUGCUGAGCCUGGCUUGCGGGGCAAGGGCCCCGGGCUGCUUGUAAAUAAUCUAUCUGACUGACUAGAGUCAGUUUCUUCUUGUGGUAUCCCCGUCAUUAUGUGGAAAGUGCACACAGUUCACUAUACCAUCCUUGAUGUCUGUUUUACUAAUUCUUGCUGAGUCAGCAGCUGCAAACACUGAGAAAUGAGAGGUAGCACAGCUUAGUAUAUGCUGUGUAGUUGGGAAACCUUCAUUGCUUGCUAAAUAUGAGCCUCUCAGCUAAUUGCUGAGGCCAGAGAGCUUCUCAUCCCUAACCUCCUUCUGUCCUUUCCUUGGGUGCCAUGUAUGCUCAGCACAGUGCUGUCAGACUGACCACAUGCAGAAUAUCAGGAGGGAGCUUCACUUUAUCUUGGCCUCCUGAAUACCCAUAUGCACCCUGACUCAGUUUGUAAUGUGAGGGGUGGGCGCAGCCCAUACCAGAGGCAGAACAAGGCAUGCUUCACCCCUCUGCCACUGUCAGUGAAGCACUG